RNAcentral lists this ribosomal RNA (330 nucleotides) under uncultured eukaryote. RNAcentral's name for it is "partial 18S ribosomal RNA". It matches the Rfam family "Eukaryotic small subunit ribosomal RNA", at positions 1470 to 1796 of the family's 1831-position model. The record is from RNAcentral.
CCCUUAGAUGUUCUGGGCCGCACGCGCGCUACACUGAUGCAUUCAACGAGUCUAAAACCUGGUCUGAUAGGGCUGGGUAAUCUUUUGAAAGUGCAUCGUGAUUGGGAUAGAUGAUUGCAAUUCUUCAUCUUCAACGAGGAAUGCCUAGUAAACGCAAGUCAUCAGCUUGCAUUGAUUACGUCCCUGCCCUUUGUACACACCGCCCGUCGCUCCUACCGAUUGAAUGAUCCGAUGAAUACCAUGGAUUGAGAGUACGAAUGGGUUCGCUCAUUUCUGCUGCUCGAGAAGUGGAGUAAAUCUUACCAUUUAGAGGAAGGAGAAGUCGUAACA